RNAcentral lists this ribosomal RNA (252 nucleotides) under uncultured bacterium. RNAcentral describes it as "partial 16S ribosomal RNA". It matches the Rfam family "Bacterial small subunit ribosomal RNA", at positions 524 to 776 of the family's 1533-position model. The record is from RNAcentral.
UACAGAGGAUGCAAGCGUUAUCCGGAAUGAUUGGGCGUAAAGCGUCUGUAGGUGGCUUUUUAAGUCCGCCGUCAAAUCCCAGGGCUCAACUCUGGACAGGCGGUGGAAACUACCAAGCUGGAGUACGGUAGGGGCAGAGGGAAUUUCCGGUGGAGCGGUGAAAUGCGCAGAUAUCGGGAAGAACACCCGUGGCGAAGGCGGUCUCUGGGACGGUACUGACGCUGAGACGCGAAAGCGUGGGGAGCGAACAGG